UGGGGAAUUUUGGACAAUGGGCGCAAGCCUGAUCCAGCCAUGCCGCGUGUGUGAAGAAGGCCUUCGGGUUGUAAAGCACUUUCGGCCGGAACGAAAUCGCCUCCGUUAAUAGCGGGGGUGGAUGACGGUACCGGAAGAAGAAGCACCGGCUAACUACGUGCCAGCAGCCGCGGUAAUACGUAGGGUGCGAGCGUUAAUCGGAAUUACUGGGCGUAAAGGGUGCGCAGGCGGUUGCGCAAGUCAGGCGUGAAAUCCCCGGGCUUAACCUGGGAAUGGCGCUUGAAACUACGUGACUGGAGUAUGGCAGAGGGAGGUGGAAUUCCACGUGUAGCGGUGAAAUGUGUAGAGAUGUGGAGGAACACCGAUGGCGAAGGCAGCCUCCUGGGCCAAUACUGACGCUCAUGCACGAAAGCGUGGGGAGCAAACAGGAUUAGAUACCCCCGUAGUCCCUGAGCGGGCUGGCAAGGCGCAU
This 472-nucleotide ribosomal RNA is filed under the name uncultured bacterium. RNAcentral describes it as "bacterial SSU rRNA". It matches the Rfam family "Bacterial small subunit ribosomal RNA", at positions 355 to 825 of the family's 1533-position model. The record is from RNAcentral.